AGAGUUUGAUCAUGGCUCAGAGCGAACGCUGGCGGCAGGCCUAAUACAUGCAAGUCGAACGCACCUUCGGGUGAGUGGCGGACGGGUGAGUAACGCGUGGGAACGUGCCCUUUGGUACGGAACAACUGAGGGAAACUUCAGCUAAUACCGUAUGUGCCCUUCGGGGGAAAGAUUUAUCGCCAUUGGAGCGGCCCGCGUUGGAUUAGGUAGUUGGUGGGGUAAAAGCCUACCAAGCCUACGAUCCAUAGCUGGUCUGAGAGGAUGAUCAGCCACACUGGGACUGAGACACGGCCCAGACUCCUACGGGAGGCAGCAGUAGGGAAUCUUGCGCAAUGGGCGAAAGCCUGACGCAGCCAUGCCGCGUGAAUGAUGAAGGUCUUAGGAUUGUAAAAUUCUUUCACCGGGGAAGAUAAUGACGGUACCCGGAGAAGAAGCCCCGGCUAACUUCGUGCCAGCAGCCGCGGUAAUACGAAGGGGGCUAGCGUUGCUCGGAAUUACUGGGCGUAAAGGGCGCGUAGGCGGAUAUCUAAGUUGGGGGUGAAAGCCCGGGGCUCAACCUCGGAAUAGCCUUCAAUACUGGAUAUCUUGAGUUCGGGAGAGGUGAGUGGAAUGCCGAGUGUAGAGGUGAAAUUCGUAGAUAUUCGGCGGAACACCAGUGGCGAAGGCGACUCACNNNCCGAUACUGACGCUGAGGCGCGAAAGCGUGGGGAGCAAACAGGAUUAGAUACCCUAGUAGUCC
This 739-nucleotide ribosomal RNA is filed under the name uncultured bacterium. Its description in RNAcentral is "bacterial SSU rRNA". It matches the Rfam family "Bacterial small subunit ribosomal RNA", at positions 8 to 796 of the family's 1533-position model. The record is from RNAcentral.